AGUGAACGCUGGCGGUAGGCCUAACACAUGCAAGUCGAACGGCAACACAGUAAGAGCUUGCUCUUACGGGUGGCGAGUGGCGGACGGGUGAGGAAUACAUCGGAAUCUACUUUUUCGUGGGGGAUAACGUAGGGAAACUUACGCUAAUACCGCAUACGACCUACGGGUGAAAGCAGGGGAUCUUCGGACCUUUCGCGGUUGAAUGAGCCGAUGUCGGAUUAGCUAGUUGGCGGGGUAAAGGCCCACCAAGGCGACGAUCCGUAGCUGGUCGGAGUGGAUGAUCAGCCACACUGGAACUGAGACACGGUCCAGACUCCUACGGGAGGCAGCAGUGGGGAAUAUUGGACAAUGGGCGCAAGCCUGAUCCAGCCAUACCGCGUGGGUGAAGAAGGCCUUCGGGUUGUAAAGCCCUUUUGUUGGGAAAGAAAAGCAGCAGGUUAAUACCCCGCUGUUCUGACGGUACCCAAAGAAUAAGCACCGGCUAACUUCGUG
This 492-nucleotide ribosomal RNA is filed under the name uncultured bacterium. Its description in RNAcentral is "partial 16S ribosomal RNA". It matches the Rfam family "Bacterial small subunit ribosomal RNA", at positions 29 to 507 of the family's 1533-position model. The record is from RNAcentral.